Molecule: long non-coding RNA, 692 nt
Organism: Vombatus ursinus (common wombat)
Lineage: Eukaryota; Metazoa; Chordata; Mammalia; Diprotodontia; Vombatidae
Exons: 4
Source: RefSeq, a predicted model, not a curated record
CCCCGGCUCUUUGGGCGCCUUGGGCUAGCGGGAGGAGGCAGGGAUGGGGGAGACCGCGGCUUCCUCCCCUUUUCCUCCACCCCCGGCUCGCUCCCUCCUUCCCUCCUUCCCAGCUUGGCCUCCCCUGUUCCCAGUCUCGGGGCUCCUUUUAGCCCGCCGCCCUUUGGAGAGAGCCGCCUUUUCGCGGGGACUUCUGCUUUUCUGCCCCCGACUCGGACCCCCAAUCUCCCUCAGUCUCAUCCCCCAGCACCAGCAGCGGCAGCGGCGGCGGGACUGAGUGACCGAAGCCUCUCCCCCCCAACCCCCCGGUAACCUUGGAGGCGCCCUCGCACAAAUUUGGAAACCCGUGAACCAGAAGACUAGACAGAGAGACAGCAUGUUAAUUGUACAAAUGAAGAGGAAGAGAGAAGCUCUCCAAAGUGACUGUGUCCCAGGUGGAGCUUCAGGAUCUUGCUCACAGAUUGUUAAAAUUGAGUAAGAAGAUGAGAGUCACAGCUGGCUGCCCUCCUUUGGACUUCUUUAGGAUCCCAGGCAUCUCACCAUCCUGCAAGAUCACACCAGUCCUGGUAUUCACACCUCAUCAACACUCUCUGCCCCUGAAACCCUUUGGAUUGAAGAGUGGAACAAAGGGCAUGUAACAUCAACAACAAAGUAUAAAGAAUCUGGCAAUAAAACAAAAUAAAAAUCCAAAA